GACGAACGCUGGCGGCGUGCCUAAUACAUGCAAGUAGAACGCUGAAGAGAGGAGCUUACUCUUCUUGGAUGAGUUGCGCACGGGUGAGUAACGCGUAGGUAACCUGCCUUGUAGCGGGGGAUAACUAUUGGAAACGAUAGCUAAUACCGCAUAACAAUGGAUGACACAUGUCAUUUAUUUGAAAGGGGCAAUUGCUCCACUACAAGAUGGACCUGCGUUGUAUUAGCUAGUAGGUGAGGUAAUGGCUCACCUAGGCGACGAUACAUAGCCGACCUGAGAGGGUGAUCGGCCACACUGGGACUGAGACACGGCCCAGACUCCUACGGGAGGCAGCAGUAGGGAAUCGUCGGCAAUGGGGGCAACCCUGACCGAGCAACGCCGCGUGAGGGAAGAAGGUUUUCGGAUCGUAAAGCUCGGUUGUAAGUCAAGAACGGGUGUGAGAGUGGAAAGUUCACACUGUGACGGUAGCUUACCAGAAAGGGACGGCUAACUACGUG
RNAcentral lists this ribosomal RNA (497 nucleotides) under uncultured bacterium. RNAcentral's name for it is "partial 16S ribosomal RNA". It matches the Rfam family "Bacterial small subunit ribosomal RNA", at positions 28 to 507 of the family's 1533-position model. The record is from RNAcentral.